CUGCUUUUCUCAUGUUCCUUUCUUCUGCUGUCUUCUUCUUGGGAACAAGAAUUUAUGUUAUUGUUGAACCUGAAGGCAGCCCCAUGACUAGUGUGGCUCAAGUUCUUGUUGUUGCUGUAAAAAAACGAGGGCUGAAGCUUCCUCAGAACCCUGCUUUUUCCCUUUUCAACUAUAUUCCUGCCAAAUCUAUCAACUCCAAGCUCCCUCACACAAAUCAGUUCAGGUUCCUUGACAAGGCAGCAAUCGUUACAGAAAAAGACCAAAUAAACUUGGAUGGCUCAUCUGCCAAACCUUGGAGACUAUGCAGUAUCCAGCAAGUUGAAGAAGUGAAAUGUUUGAUCAGAAUAAUUCCAAUAUGGGCAUCAGCCAUAAUCUACCAUGUUCCCUUAAUCCAACAACAGACCUAUGCAGUUCUCCAAGCACUGCAACUUGACAGACGUCUAGGUACUGGCAGUUUUGAAGUACCUGCUGCCACAUUUAUUAUCUUCACUAUGCUUGCCCUCACUAUUUGGAUUCCCAUUUAUGACCGAAUCCUGGUUCCGUUUCUUCAAAGACUUACUGGCAAAGAAGGUGGAUUCACACUUCUCCAGAGAAUGGGAAUUGGAAUCUUACUCUCAGUUCUUUGUAUGUUCGUUUCCGGUUUGGUCGAGGGACAUAGAAGACAUAUUGCUCAUACUAAGCCAACUCUAGGCAUAUCACCCAAAGGAGGUGCUGUAUCAUCAAUGUCUUGGAUGUG
RNAcentral lists this unclassified non-coding RNA (736 nucleotides) under Hevea brasiliensis (rubber tree). The record is from RNAcentral. Lineage: Eukaryota; Viridiplantae; Streptophyta; Magnoliopsida; Malpighiales; Euphorbiaceae.